GAGGGUGCAAGCGUUAAUCGGAAUUACUGGGCGUAAAGCGUGCGUAGGCGGCUCGUUAAGUCAGAUGUGAAAGCCCUGGGCUCAACCUGGGAACUGCAUUUGAAACUGGCGAGCUAGAGUUUGAGAGAGGUAAGUGGAAUUUCAGGUGUAGCGGUGAAAUGCGUAGAGAUCUGAAGGAACACCAGUGGCGAAGGCGACUUACUGGCUUAAAACUGACGCUGAGGUACGAAAGCGUGGGUAGCAAACAGGAUUAGAUACCCUGGUAGUCCACGCCGUAAACGAUGUCAACUAGCCGUUGGCUCUCUUUGAGAGUUAGUGGCGCAGCUAACGCAUUAAGUUGACCGCCUGGGGAGUACGGCCGCAAGGUUAAAACUCAAAUGAAUUGACGGGGGCCCGCACAAGCGGUGGAGCAUGUGGUUUAAUUCGA
This 427-nucleotide ribosomal RNA is filed under the name uncultured bacterium 1605-43. RNAcentral's name for it is "bacterial SSU rRNA". It matches the Rfam family "Bacterial small subunit ribosomal RNA", at positions 528 to 954 of the family's 1533-position model. Lineage: Bacteria; Pseudomonadati; Pseudomonadota; Gammaproteobacteria. The record is from RNAcentral.